ACAUACCAGAUGCUGAUGUUCAAGAAAGUGGUAGCAUUCACAAUACUGUGGCGUAUACAACGAGAAAAAUGAAAUUUACAAAGCAAUGAUUACUGGCGGGAUUGCUGUCAUCGCCCUGAUCCCAGGUGCAGUUAGUAAGUACGUGGUGUUGUGUCACUGUUCUGGUUUUGUGACACCUGCAUGGCCUGUCGUAUAUUUUGGUCUACUUCAAUUAUUUGGUUCCAGUCACCUUGUACCGGCUCAUGCAGGCUGAACUAACCGAAUUAAGAUUGUUUGUAGCUUUUUCUUUAUUACACGGAAUAUUCAACAUCCUUGCUCAGCAACAGCUAAAAGAAAAUAAUGGCAAUUAAAAAGCAUUCUACGACAUUGAUGAACUUUAUCGCGUUGGGGAACACAUUCGCCCGUUUUUUAACUUUCUAAAAUGCGAUGUAAUUAAAGCUAGAGUCUUUAUGAACCAGCUCUGACGUGGGAAAUUGGCGAUGCUUGCCAACAACCAGCAGAAAUUGGAUCUGUAAGGUACCUAAUAUGCUCGGAGUAUAUACU
Long non-coding RNA from Dendronephthya gigantea, 543 nucleotides. RefSeq lists it as uncharacterized. The record is from RefSeq and is a predicted model, not a curated record. The transcript is spliced from 3 exons. Lineage: Eukaryota; Metazoa; Cnidaria; Anthozoa; Malacalcyonacea; Nephtheidae.